This is a non-coding RNA of Ictidomys tridecemlineatus (thirteen-lined ground squirrel), 738 nucleotides long. Lineage: Eukaryota; Metazoa; Chordata; Mammalia; Rodentia; Sciuridae. The record is from RefSeq and is a predicted model, not a curated record.
AACUGCCAAUAUGUUUAAGAUGGGGUGAUUUAUCACCAAGGCUACAUAAAAUGCAAUCCCCCAAACAUCAGCCAUGCCCUUGGAAAAAUAGCUAAAACUUGAAGUUUCUGAAGCUGGCUACAUGAUUCUACUUGGGAGAAGAGGACCCUGAAAGCCAAGGGUCCCUGGCACUCAGAGAGUGGUCCAGAAGGAGGUGUGGCACAGAUUCCAGGUGGACACAUUCCCAUGGUAUGGCGACAAAUUGAUGAGGAUGGUGGGAACAGGAGGUUAAGAGAACAAUCCCAUACAAUGAGCCCACUGGACUGACUCCCCACAUGCUUUCUUUGCCAAAAAUUAAUCUGCCUGAAACCCUGCCUGUCACAUUCCUCAAUAAACUGAGGCAGUCAAUAUAGACAAUGAAUGACGGUGGUCCAGAGAGGAUUAUGGCUGGUGGUGAGUGGGUUACUAACAGCUAACCUCUGGGAUCACACUUCCCAGCUCUGUGGUUGCUAACACCUCCAGGGACAGCACUUUUAAACACAAGCCAUUACCCCUGUGCUGCUCCUUGUUGCUGCCGUUAGGCACAUGUUCUUAAGAGAAGAAAGAGAAGGUGGGGAAUUCUGAGGGUCUAUAAAAAAGCAAGACACCCACUCCCAUGGGCACCCAGCCCUGGGCCCCCUUCUCUGUGGAGAAGUUUUCUACUUCUGUUCCUCAUUUUUUUGUUUGUUUGUCCCUGUAUUCAAUAAAACUUACCUUCUA